UCAGUAUCUCACUCUGCCUCACUCUGUCUCAGUAUGUCACUCUGUCUCAGUAUCUCACUCUGUCUCACUGUCUCACUCUGUCUCAGUAUGUCUCUCUGUCUCACUCUGCCUCACUCUGUCUCAGUAUGUCUCUCUGUCUCAGUAUGUCACUCUGUCUCACUCUGCCUCACCUGCUCUCAGUAUGUCUCACUCUGUCUCAGUGUUGCCAGGUUGAACAGAGGGUGUGUCCCGACUCCUCCCCGUCCCGCAGGGGCGUGUCUCCACCUGUGCAGAAUGUAGAUUUUAGGCCGCAGGUGGGACGCUCUACCUGUCCUGCACUCGUGUGAUAAUUUUAUAUUAACAGAAAUAAUGAUAAAUAGUAAUAAUAAUAUAAUUAUUAAUAAUGAAGAAAUGAUGAUGCGUGAAUAACGCCGCUAAUACAUGCUGGAUUUAUUUGUAUUAUUAUUAUAUUUUUUUUGUUCUGGCGUUUUAAGAAAAACAGAAACAUGAUAAGUGUCUUAUAAUGAUGAAGAUGAUGAUGAAGAUGAUGAAGAUUAAAAGGAUAUUGUAGUUAGCCGUUUAAUUUUUUGGAAAAGCUGCUUUGGUUUGAUUUGAGAUUUUAAUAUUUUGUAUUAAAGAGAUUUGCUGAAAGUGGGCGGGGCGUGUUGUUUAUUGGGUGAAUCUGAGGGGGUGUGGUUCUGGUUCACAGCAAUGAAAACUGAUGGACGGAUUGAUUAUCAGUGUAAAUGUGAUUUCAUGUUUAGCUGUAGUCUCAGGGCAGGUUAUGAGAGGUGUGAUAUAAUUAUAAAUGUUAUAAUUAUAAAUGUUAUGGAUGUGAUCUGUAACUCUGAUGUUUGGAGGAUGUUCUCUGUAGACGGAUAAUCAGGACUGAUAUGAAGAAGCUCCAGCAGACCGGGUCGGAGGGGUCAGUACUCAGGCCCCGCCCCUACAUCCCAUAAUAUUACACAAAUGCUGGCAAUAUUUAAAAUCAAUCAAAAUGAGAAGUUAUUAAUGUGUAAAUGUAUAAUUUUAUAUGAAUUAUAUGGAGAUUAAAGAGUGUACUGGUGGGAUCCAGCACUGCUUCUAAUGGGAGUUCUGGCUGUGGGUAAAGUGGGCGGGGUUAAACCCGCGUGUUUGGGCGGUUGGUGGGGAGCGUCGGUUGCUAUGGGUUUGGUUGCUAGGAGCCGGUGUGCUAGGCCCCGCCCCUCCCCCUCUCUGCAGGAAUGGAGCAGGGAUUGCGGGAAGAAGCUGCGGUGAGUAAAUCAGAUUAAACUUAUAUAAAUAUUAAUAAAAUCAGAAGUCGGUUCUGUUCUACA
This 1295-nucleotide long non-coding RNA is filed under the name Astyanax mexicanus (Mexican tetra). Its description in RNAcentral is "lncRNA (ENSAMXG00005001882.1)". Lineage: Eukaryota; Metazoa; Chordata; Actinopteri; Characiformes; Acestrorhamphidae. The record is from RNAcentral.